Molecule: transfer RNA, 63 nt
Filed under: Cardiastethus sp.
Lineage: Eukaryota; Metazoa; Arthropoda; Insecta; Hemiptera; Anthocoridae
Description: tRNA-His
Source: RNAcentral
GCUUAAAUAGUUUAAUUUAGAAUUUUAAUUUGUGGUGUUAAGAGUGCAUUAAUGCUUUAAGUA